GGAUUCACUGGUUUGACUAUUGUUCAUUUCUUCCGUUCUUAUAUUCAUUUUACACAUUUAUUCCAAAAAACCCUAGCAGUCGACUCUCCGGAAACUUCUCCCUCCUCUUGCGUCACGUCCUUUGUUUCUGCCCUAACUUGCUGGCUAAUCCAGCGAUAAAGUAGACGGCGGAUGCUAGAUCUUUUUCCGUCAUAUAUGCAGUUAUGAAUAAUUCAUGGAAAGUAAUAGGAAUUAGACUAGACAGAGUCUUCAACCGGUUCAAAUUGAGUUCUUUGGUUAUGGGUUUGGGUUCGGUGGAUCUAUGCAACUCCCAAUUGCAGCUGCCACAUUUUUGCGGUGGUUUUGGUAGGAUUUAUGAAAAUGGUGGUUUAGACAUCUGAGGAGAUUGUGUGACUGACGGCAGAAAGUCAAAGCUGUGUUCGUGGUGGCUGAAGCUGUCUAUUUUGUGUUUGUUUUCUUGGUUCUAUUUCUUCUUCCUUUUUCAAUUUUGUAGAAAAAUGAUUAAUAAUGAAGGCCUCGAAUUUUUUUUUUUAAAUUUUCUUUUAAGGAACAAUUUCCUGGAAGCAAGUUUAGUUGUAUGUUAAUUUUUGGUAUUUAAUGGUACACUCUUUCUUCGCUAAUGAAAAAACCAUUAAGUUUUUAAAGGUGAGACAACCAAUUUAAUUUUUAUUUAAUCAUUAUUAAUGGAAGUAAAGAGAAAGAUGUAUAACUUAAGUGUUCUAAGUUCAUUGUUACAGCUGUAAAAUAGAACAUCGAGCCUCGCGUUCAUAGUAUCUGGGUUUUUUACUUAUCAUGCAGGGGAUUUGAUGCCUUAAUUUCUCAAUGCAAAGGAUCUUUCUUCUCUGGAUUUUUCUUUUUUCUUUUCUUCCAACAUCUUAAUAUGCACUAAUUCAUUGGCUUUGUUGUUCUCUUUUAUUCUAUGAGUCCAGCAACCCAAUCUUUUGUUUGUACUUUAUGGUUUAUGUUUCUCUUUAUAAGGCAAAUUUAUCUUAUGCAAGUAAGUUGUACAUCUGCUUGGUAUGAAGCUGUUGUGUUUAUUGAAGUCUAAAUCAGGAAAAAACUUCAUUGGAUGUAUUUAUUUCAAAUAUUUGUAAGAUGCUAUUCUUAUCUUGUGAUUUUCUUAAAUACAAUUUUAUAUCACUUGACUUCUUCCCAGGUUUCAGUUCUUGAGUGGAUAAUUAUUUUUAUGCCUUUGUUUGUCUUAUAAUUUUAAUGCUUAGUAUAUAGGAAUAGGCCACUUCUUGGCAAGUUCGGAAGCUUGGUGAGAAGGAAACUAAUGAUAAUGGUCUUUUAAUUAAAUAGGCCCAAGAGAAAGUAAAGAAAAUUUGUGAAGCAAAUGUAGAUCCUUUGAAAUUAAAGGUGCUACAAAUGGCAACAAUGCCAGUUCAAGCGUUUCUUCAAGCCCUAAUCAACAUUUUGCUAAUGGGGGCUAUCUAGAGUGAUCUCAUGACUGUUUGAAAAUUAACACAUCCUUUUCACCUGUAGGCAUUCACUUGCUGCGAUUACCAGUGGUAGCUGUACUUAAACUAAGCCAUAGUUACAUUGGCAGUUUUUGUAGGAUCCAUCAAUUUUUGGGUGUGUUCGACAUCGGUGGAAAAUUUAUGUCCACUCUCUCUCAGUUUGAUGUAUUGUAUGAAAAUAAUAUAAUCGCGGCUGAUUAUUUAAAUUAGUUAUUUUGAAUGUGAAGUCAACUGGUACCCAUUCUCAAACGCAGUUAAACAUUCGCUAUGAAUUUUCUCUUCGAGUAUAUUUCUGUGAGUUCAUUUUAUAUUUGAAAUUGCUUAUUUGUUAUGACUUCUCUCCAGGAUUUCGAGCCUUGAAGCGUGGCUGAAUACAAACAUUAGUGCCUG
This 1850-nucleotide long non-coding RNA is filed under the name Olea europaea (common olive). RNAcentral's name for it is "long non-coding RNA (OEUR_LNC004316)". The record is from RNAcentral. Lineage: Eukaryota; Viridiplantae; Streptophyta; Magnoliopsida; Lamiales; Oleaceae.